UCCCUGGUAGCUUGGUGGUAAAGAAUUUGCCUGCAGAUGCAAGAGACAUGGGUUCGAUCCCUGUUCCAGGAA
RNAcentral lists this transfer RNA (72 nucleotides) under Bos taurus (domestic cattle). It matches the Rfam family "tRNA". From Rfam's summary of the family: Transfer RNA (tRNA) molecules are approximately 80 nucleotides in length. Their secondary structure includes four short double-helical elements and three loops (D, anti-codon, and T loops). RNAcentral also lists the same sequence under 5 other names. The record is from Rfam by way of RNAcentral. Lineage: Eukaryota; Metazoa; Chordata; Mammalia; Artiodactyla; Bovidae.